This 167-nucleotide non-coding RNA is filed under the name bovine gut metagenome. Its description in RNAcentral is "malK-I RNA". It matches the Rfam family "malK-I RNA". The record is from RNAcentral.
GCGACCGCUCACUCCACUGUAUGAGCGGCGUACAUACAAAAAGGAGGUUCAACAACCCGCAAGGCUCGCGGUGCGGCAGUGUGGAGACCUGUCGUAAUGUCCCGCCCGGAUUUCCGGGGAGACGAGGCGCAUCCGGCGGAGGCCGGUGCGUCAGAGCUGUUUCUAUG